GAUGAACGCUGGCGGCGUGCCUAAUACAUGCAAGUCGAGCGAACAGACGAGGAGCUUGCUCCUCUGACGUUAGCGGCGGACGGGUGAGUAACACGUGGAUAACCUACCUAUAAGACUGGGAUCACUUCGGGAAACCGGAGCUAAUACCGGAUAAUCUAUUGCACCGCAUGGUUCAAUAGUGAAAGACGGUUUUGCUGUCACGUAUAGAUGGAUCCGCGCCGCAUUAGCUAGUUGGUAAGUUAACGGCUUAUCAAGGCAACGAUGCGUAGGCGACCUGAGAGGGUGAUCGGCCACACUGGAACUGAGACACGGUCCAUACGCCUAAGAGAGGGAGCAGUAGGGAAUCUUCCGCAAUGGGCGAAAACCUUACGGAGCAACGCCGCGUGAGUUAUAAAGGUCUUCCGAUCGUAAAACUCUGUUAUUAGGUAAGAACAAAUGUGUAAUUAACUAUGCACGUCUUGACGGUACCUAAUCAGAAAGCCACGGCUAACUACGUG
Molecule: ribosomal RNA, 497 nt
Filed under: uncultured bacterium
Lineage: Bacteria
Description: partial 16S ribosomal RNA
Rfam family: Bacterial small subunit ribosomal RNA
Source: RNAcentral